This is an RNA transcript of Juglans microcarpa x Juglans regia, 773 nucleotides long. RefSeq lists it as uncharacterized. The transcript is spliced from 5 exons. The record is from RefSeq and is a predicted model, not a curated record. NCBI's taxonomy places the organism in Eukaryota, Viridiplantae, Streptophyta, Magnoliopsida, Fagales, Juglandaceae.
CUUAAAAUACAUUAAGCUAUUAAUUUGAUCGCAUUACUUCAGAACUCGAAGCUCUGAAAAAAAAAAAAAACGAGAGAGAGGGGGGAAGAGUGAGGAGAUGAUGCUAAGGACUCGAGUGCUAUGGUUCGGCGUAGGGUUUUCUGUGGUAGGAGCUGCGAUUUCCCAAUUAAUCUGGAGAGAUUCGUGGACCGAUCGACACGCUCUCUUUUCCGAUACGAAGCAGAAAUUUGAUGCUUUGGAAGCCAGACUGUUGAACCUCGAGGCAACUAUCUCUAAUCCAAAAUCGGAUUCCGGUCAGUUUUCUCUAGACCGAAUUACGAUUCCUGAUGCUCGGAAACAAAAAAAAAAAGUAUAUUUCCCGGCGUGACUCGCGAGAAGCUUCGGGACAAGCAAAUUAAACACAGAUAUUAUCUACAAAUGAGUUAAUCAUAAUGUCACUUUGAGAACUGUGUAAGAUAUUUCUAUCCAAGGCGGAAGGCUAGCUCAAUUUCAAGCAAAGAUCCAUAUUUCAGACAAGGAAAAGAGGACGACUAAAUAAGAUUUAUUAUCUACUAGGACGACUCGAUUGUUGGGUUUCUUAUACUGUGGAUUUAUUUUAACAGAAAUCUCAAGAUACUCUAGAUGAUCCACAAAUCUCGACUUGCCUGUCUUAUUAAUGUCUUGCUGCCUUGGAACAAGGAAAAGUCAGAGAAAUUUGGCUGCGUUUGUUUUGACGUAAGAGAAGGAAAAUAAGAAAAUAUUUUCGUACAAAACGAGUGAUUUUUAGAAGUUAA